RNAcentral lists this long non-coding RNA (349 nucleotides) under Vigna radiata. RNAcentral describes it as "long non-coding RNA (VRAD_LNC009551)". The record is from RNAcentral. Lineage: Eukaryota; Viridiplantae; Streptophyta; Magnoliopsida; Fabales; Fabaceae.
UGGCAUUGUGCAUUAAAAUUGGAUGGAUGAUGUGUUUUAAAUCAUCAAAUCCACGUGGCGUCGGUGCUUCUUUCUCUUCUCCUUGGUCAUUCUCUUCUUCUCCCUCGGUCCUGAAGCUGAGAGAGAAAGCGAUGGUCAAUAGAACCUUCACCACUGCCCAACACGCCAACUUUUAAGUGUCGGAGUUUGUGUAUCUCCUUUCUCGAGUGCCAGAGACUUCCCCCCUUUCUUAAGGACCAGAGACUGCAUCUUAUGAAUGAAAAACCUGUUUACGUCGUGUGAGCUCGUGGAAGCAGUGUCAUUAAGAGGCACCAUAGAAGUGAGAAGCUCGGUGCAAGGCAUUUUCCCC